GGGGGUUUAGCUCAGCGGUAGAGCACUUGCCUAGCAAGCACAAGGCCCUGGGUUCGGUCCCCAGCUCCG
This is a non-coding RNA of Rattus norvegicus (Norway rat), 69 nucleotides long. Lineage: Eukaryota; Metazoa; Chordata; Mammalia; Rodentia; Muridae. The record is from Rfam.